GAUAAACGCUGGCGGCGUGCCUAAUACAUGCAAGUCGAGCGAACGGACGAGAAGCUUGCUUCUCUGAUGUUAGCGGCGGACGGGUGAGUAACACGUGGAUAACCUACCUAUAAGACUGGGAUAACUUCGGGAAACCGGAGCUAAUACCGGAUAAUAUUUUGAACCGCAUGGUUCAAAAGUGAAAGACGGUCUUGCUGUCACUUAUAGAUGGAUCCGCGCUGCAUUAGCUAGUUGGUAAGGUAACGGCUUACCAAGGCAACGAUGCAUAGCCGACCUGAGAGGGUGAUCGGCCACACUGGAACUGAGACACGGUCCAGACUCCUACGGGAGGCAGCAGUAGGGAAUCUUCCGCAAUGGGCGAAAGCCUGACGGAGCAACGCCGCGUGAGUGAUGAAGGUCUUCGGAUCGUAAAACUCUGUUAUUAGGGAAGAACAUAUGUGUAAGUAACUGUGCACAUCUUGACGGUACCUAAUCAGAAAGCCACGGCUAACUACGUGCCAGCAGCCGCGGUAAUACGUAGGUGGCAAGCGUUAUCCGGAAUUAUUGGGCGUAAAGCGCGCGUAGGCGGUUUUUUAAGUCUGAUGUGAAAGCCCACGGCUCAACCGUGGAGGGUCAUUGGAAACUGGAAAACUUGAGUGCAGAAGAGGAAAGUGGAAUUCCAUGUGUAGCGGUGAAAUGCGCAGAGAUAUGGAGGAACACCAGUGGCGAAGGCGACUUUCUGGUCUGUAACUGACGCUGAUGUGCGAAAGCGUGGGGAUCAAACAGGAUUAGAUACCCUGGUAGUCCACGCCGUAAACGAUGAGUGCUAAGUGUUAGGGGGUUUCCGCCCCUUAGUGCUGCAGCUAACGCAUUAAGCACUCCGCCUGGGGAGUACGACCGCAAGGUUGAAACUCAAAGGAAUUGACGGGGACCCGCACAAGCGGUGGAGCAUGUGGUUUAAUUCGAAGCAACGCGAAGAACCUUACCAAAUCUUGACAUCCUUUGACAACUCUAGAGAUAGAGCCUUCCCCUUCGGGGGACAAAGUGACAGGUGGUGCAUGGUUGUCGUCAGCUCGUGUCGUGAGAUGUUGGGUUAAGUCCCGCAACGAGCGCAACCCUUAAGCUUAGUUGCCAUCAUUAAGUUGGGCACUCUAAGUUGACUGCCGGUGACAAACCGGAGGAAGGUGGGGAUGACGUCAAAUCAUCAUGCCCCUUAUGACUUGGGCUACACACGUGCUACAAUGGACAAUACAAAGGGCAGCGAAACCGCGAGGUCAAGCAAAUCCCAUAAAGUUGUUCUCAGUUCGGAUUGUAGUCUGCAACUCGACUACAUGAAGCUGGAAUCGCUAGUAAUCGUAGAUCAGCAUGCUACGGUGAAUACGUUCCCGGGUCU
This 1372-nucleotide ribosomal RNA is filed under the name uncultured bacterium. Its description in RNAcentral is "bacterial SSU rRNA". It matches the Rfam family "Bacterial small subunit ribosomal RNA", at positions 28 to 1381 of the family's 1533-position model. The record is from RNAcentral.